GGUGCCACUUACAAUUCUACAAAGACAGAGCUGGAGGCUGCAUUCCCAAAUCAUCUGGUCCAGCCUCCGCCUAAUGCACUUAAUUCUUUUUGUCAGUGAGGAUCUCCAGACGCUUCAGCCAUCAGCGGAGAUGUCCUUGACUGUUGUAACAAUCAUUUCCUCUGUUACGAGAAGAGAUUGUAAGGGAAACUGCAGUUAGUGCAAGUUGACUCUCCAGAGGUGGGCUCAUUCAGACUAUGUGGAGGCGUUGACUCUCCGACAGGGGGCGUGGUUACCGGGCGCCAUAGCUGGCCGGAACUACGAAUCCCAGCGUACCCUGGGGCUAGAAGGCGGAGUCUAGUGAUCUAGGGGGCAGGGCCUUGGAGAAAGGGGGCAUUGUGCUGGGAGCGAGGUGCUGCCGCGGCUGCUGCUGCUGCUGCUGCAUUUGUCUGGUUUCCCAGUCGCUCGCGGAUCUUUUGUGGAAUCUUUGGCCCGGGGAGCUCGGAUGUGAAUGUGUCAACGGCGGCUGCAGUAACCGCAGCGGGGGACUGAUUAGUUGGGGGUGGGGGAGGGGAGGGAGAGAAAUAACUGGAAUUUUUUUACCCAGGGGAAUAAUGUUCCAAACUUACUUAAA
RNAcentral lists this long non-coding RNA (613 nucleotides) under Monodelphis domestica (gray short-tailed opossum). RNAcentral's name for it is "lncRNA (ENSMODG00000048840.1)". The record is from RNAcentral. Lineage: Eukaryota; Metazoa; Chordata; Mammalia; Didelphimorphia; Didelphidae.